GACGAACGCUGGCGGCGUGCUUAACACAUGCAAGUCGAACGGAAAGGCCCUGCUUUUGUGGGUUGCUCGAGUGGCGAACGGGUGAGUAACACGUGAGUAUCCUGCCCUUGACUUUGGGAUAACUCCUGGAAACUGGGGCUAAUAUCGGAUAUGAGCUCCUGCUGCAUGUUGUGCGUUGGAAAGAUUCGGCGGUUGGGGAUGGACUCGCGGCUUAUCAGCUUGUUGGUGUGGUAGUGGCUGACGAAGGGUGUGACGGGUAGCCGGCAUGGGAGGGGUACCGGCGACAAGAGGACUGAGAGAGGGAGCAGAAUGGAACGGGAGGCAGUGGUGGGGAACAUGGCGGAGUGGGCGGGAGCGAGAGGCGGAAACGCCGGGAGCGGGAAGAUGGGUUAUGGGGGAUGAACAGAUGUCGAAUGAGACGAAGAGGGAGUGACGGUACUGGGUAAGGAAGCACCGGCUAACUACGUG
RNAcentral lists this ribosomal RNA (468 nucleotides) under uncultured bacterium. Its description in RNAcentral is "partial 16S ribosomal RNA". It matches the Rfam family "Bacterial small subunit ribosomal RNA", at positions 28 to 507 of the family's 1533-position model. The record is from RNAcentral.